UUAUCCGGAUUUAUUGGGUUUAAAGGGAGCGUAGAUGGAUGUUUAAGUCAGUUGUGAAAGUUUGCGGCUCAACCGUAAAAUUGCAGUUGAUACUGGAUGUCUUGAGUGCAGUUGAGGCAGGCGGAAUUCGUGGUGUAGCGGUGAAAUGCUUAGAUAUCACGAAGAACUCCGAUUGCGAAGGCAGCCUGCUAAGCUGCAACUGACAUUGAGGCUCGAAAGUGUGGGUAUCAAACAGGAUUAGAUACCCUGGUAGUCCACACGGUAAACGAUGAAUACUCACUGUUUGCGAUAUACGGCAAGCGGCCAAGCGAAAGCGUUAAGUAUUCCACCUGGGGAGUACGCCGGCAACGGUGAAACUCAAAGGAAUUGACGGGGGCCCGCACAAGCGGAGGAACAUGUGGUUUAAUUCGAUGAUACGCGAGGAA
This 425-nucleotide ribosomal RNA is filed under the name uncultured bacterium. RNAcentral describes it as "bacterial SSU rRNA". It matches the Rfam family "Bacterial small subunit ribosomal RNA", at positions 541 to 968 of the family's 1533-position model. The record is from RNAcentral.